Molecule: ribosomal RNA, 468 nt
Filed under: uncultured bacterium
Lineage: Bacteria
Description: partial 16S ribosomal RNA
Rfam family: Bacterial small subunit ribosomal RNA
Source: RNAcentral
GACGAACGCUGGCGGCGUGCUUAACACAUGCAAGUCGAACGGAAAGGCCCUGCUUUUGUGGGGUGCUCGAGUGGCGAACGGGUGAGUAACACGUGAGUAACCUGCCCUUGACUUUGGGAUAACUUCCGGAAACUGGGGCUAAUACCGGAUAGGAGCUCCUGCUGCAUGGUGGGGGUUGGAAAGUUUCGGCGGUUGGGGAUGGACUGGCGGCUUAUCAGCUUGUUGGUGGGGUAGUGGCUGACCAAGGCUUUGACGGGUAGCCGGCCUGAGAGGGUGACCGGCCACAUUGGGACUGAGAGACGGCCCAGACUCCUACGGGAGGCAGCAGUGGGGAAUAUUGUACAAUGGGCGGAAGCCUGAUGCAGCAACGCCGCGUGCGGGAUGACGGCCUUCGGGUUGUAAACCGCUUUCGCCUGUGACGAAGCGUGAGUGACGGUAAUGGGUAAAGAAGCACCGGCUAACUACGUG